This is a long non-coding RNA of Wyeomyia smithii (pitcher-plant mosquito), 908 nucleotides long. RefSeq lists it as uncharacterized. The record is from RefSeq and is a predicted model, not a curated record. NCBI's taxonomy places the organism in Eukaryota, Metazoa, Arthropoda, Insecta, Diptera, Culicidae. The transcript has 3 exons.
UUCCAGAUAUGCAGAUAAGGUACGCAUAAAAUCUGGAACCUAAUUGAGCGCUAACCAAUCGACGUCACUAACUACGAAGCCACGAAGACUACCAUGAAAUCCAAUAAUUCGCUGCUCUCUAAUGCCAUAACGCAAUCGUACAACCAGCAGGGGAUCAGUUAUCACUAGAGUAGUUCCACAGAUCCCUCCUCCCCCCAACGUAACAUUGGAUGCCAUCCUCAUUAUACCCUUCCACACAGACACAGUGUCAUCUUCGAAACAUACUGCAGGCAAUUUCGCAACGUUGCUUCAUUCUCAGGGAUGUAGUGGCGGAGUGAAUAAAAAGUGCCUCAGUAAAGGCCGAACUAGCAAAAGAGUGCGCCUGCGCAAUAUGAUAAACAUACCGGGUAUGGGUGGUAAAUCAAGCAACAUGAGAAAUUUGCAUCGUUUCUGCACUGUGACGAACCGUUACUAGCUUUGUAUAACGCGUCUUUUCAUGUUACUGGUUGAAAUUUGUUGUAAAAAUACUACUACAAGGGAUACCGUAGUUAUUUUAUUAUUUACAUAAAUGUAUUUACAGGAAGAAACAAUGUAAUGAAGGCACGACUUUGAAAUCCUAGCAAUAUCUGUACACGCUUCGUCAAUAUAGAACCCAAUUCUGGGCGUAUCAGUUCAUCAACUAUCUCGCAGGACAGUUGGCAUUCAGAGGAUAUCAAAUGAGAAAAAUCAUCGAACACAAACUGUGGGGUAGGAUGGUGCCCCUUUCAGGUGUUCGCUGCGUCACUGAGAUUGUUGUAUAUUAACGAAUAAUAUACAACCUUGCAACUACAAUCUAGUUUCUACGGAUCCGAAUGAAUCUGUUUAAUCCAAUUUUUGAAAUAAAUGUUUCAUUUCUUGCUACCAAUUUUAGAGACAAAUAAAAACGAAGU